GUAGUUUGAUCAUGCUCAGGAUGAACGCUGGCGGCGUGCCUAAUACAUGCAAGUCGAGCGAACGGACGAGAAGCUUGCUUCUCUGAUGUUAGCGGCGGACGGGUGAGUAACACGUGGAUAACCUACCUAUAAGACUGGGAUAACUUCGGGAAACCGGAGCUAAUACCGGAUAAUAUUUUGAACCGCAUGGUUCAAAAGUGAAAGACGGUC
This 210-nucleotide ribosomal RNA is filed under the name uncultured microorganism. RNAcentral's name for it is "partial 16S ribosomal RNA". It matches the Rfam family "Bacterial small subunit ribosomal RNA", at positions 9 to 212 of the family's 1533-position model. The record is from RNAcentral.